This is a small nucleolar RNA of Nilaparvata lugens (brown planthopper), 75 nucleotides long. RefSeq annotates it as small nucleolar RNA SNORD53/SNORD92. NCBI's taxonomy places the organism in Eukaryota, Metazoa, Arthropoda, Insecta, Hemiptera, Delphacidae. The record is from RefSeq and is a predicted model, not a curated record. The transcript has a single exon.
UUGUCAUGAUGAUCCAGAAAGGUUUCGCUAAUUUCUCUGAAAUUUUGUGACGAUUCCUCUUGGCAGACUGAACAA